UGUCAGCAGCCGCGGUAAUACAGAGGGUGCAAGCGUUAAUCGGAAUUACUGGGCGUAAAGCGUGCGUAGACGGUUGUUUAAGUCGGAUGUGAAAUCCCCGGGCUCAACCUGGGAAUUGCAUUCGAGACUGAUCAGCUAGGGUACGGAAGAGGGAAGCGGAAUUUCCGGUGUAGCGGUGAAAUGCGUAGAUAUCGGAAGGAACAUCAGUGGCGAAAGCGGCUUCCUGGUCCAGUACCGACGUUCAGGCACGAAAGCGUGGGGAGCAAACAGGAUUAGAUACCCUGGUAGUCCACGCCAUAAACGAUGAGGACUAGACGUUGGAAGGGUUAGCCUUUCAGUGUCGCAGCUAACGCGAUAAGUCCUCCGCCUGGGGAGUACGGCCGCAAGGUUGAAACUCAAAUAAAUUGACGG
RNAcentral lists this ribosomal RNA (411 nucleotides) under uncultured Lysobacterales bacterium. RNAcentral's name for it is "bacterial SSU rRNA". It matches the Rfam family "Bacterial small subunit ribosomal RNA", at positions 506 to 916 of the family's 1533-position model. The record is from RNAcentral. Lineage: Bacteria; Pseudomonadati; Pseudomonadota; Gammaproteobacteria; Lysobacterales.